UACGGGGGAAAGCAGGGGACCUUCGGGCCUUGCGCGAUUGGAUGAACCCAGGUGGGAUUAGCUAGUUGGUGAGGUAAUGGCUCACCAAGGCGACAAUCCCUAGCUGGUCUGAGAGGAUGAUCAGCCACACUGGAACUGAAACACGGUCCAAACUCCUACGGGAGGCAGCAGUGGGGAAUAUUGCACAAUGGGGGAAACCCUGAUGCACCCAUGCCGCGUGUGUGAAGAAGGCCUUCGGGUUGUAAAGCACUUUCAGCGAGGAGGAAAGGUUGGUAGCUAAUAACUGCCAGCUGUGACGUUACUCGCAAAAAAAGCACCGGCUAACUCCGUGCCAGCACCCGCGGUAAUACGGAGGGUGCAAGCGUUAAUCGGAAUUACUGGGCGUAAAGCGCACGCAGGCGGUUGGAUAAGUUAGAUGUGAAAGCCCCGGGCUCAACCUGGGAAUUGCAUUUAAAACUGUCCAGCUAGAGUCUUGUAGAGGGGGGUAGAAUUCCAGGUGUACCGGUGAAAUGCGUAUAGAUCUGGAGGAAUACCGGUGUCGAAAGCGGCGCUCUGUACCAAAACUGUCGCUCAUGUGCGUACAGCUUGUGGAGCAGAGAGCAUCAUAACACCAUGGUAUUCCACCCAGAUCUCACGUCU
Molecule: ribosomal RNA, 639 nt
Filed under: Aeromonas veronii
Lineage: Bacteria; Pseudomonadati; Pseudomonadota; Gammaproteobacteria; Aeromonadales; Aeromonadaceae
Description: bacterial SSU rRNA
Rfam family: Bacterial small subunit ribosomal RNA
Source: RNAcentral